UCUAUUUCCUAUAUACAUGCUUUUAAAACAAAUUUAGUUUGUAAUUUGGUUUGUCAAUCUAACCGAAUAUAUAACAACCUAUACAAGAAUCAAAGUCGAUCCAUUUGACCCUCGAUCACGCAAAUUCUUAAAGCUGUUACCUAACUAAAUAAAUAAUAUCUCCUAUUUUCUAUAUUUUUAUAUACAAUUAAUAUUAGUUUGUUCAAAAUAUUCUAUUUCCUAUUUACGCUUUGAUUCUAUUUUUAUAUACAUAUUUUUGUAUAGAUCGGAUGAGCUUACAGCACGACCUGUAGCAGUUGAAUAUGUCAUAAAUACCUAACCGGAGAGAGGAGGUACACUGUGGCUGACAUUACAUAGUCUUGCUGUAAAGCUAACACAGUUUGAGUUUCAAACACAUUUGUAGAAUGCAGAUCAUAAAAGAGUGGGAGGCUACUAAACUUCGGUUUCAAACCAAAAAAAUCAACAAGGUUGUUUUGCUCAUGUCUCAAAGAAUAAAGCUGAACAGAAAAAAUGAAUGUUGCUUCAUUUACCUUUUUAUGUCUUUAAAAUUAGAAAGAGUUAAUAUGACAAAUCUUUGUAACAGGACUGCUACUUGGAGUAGUGUUCGUCAGAUGAAGGUGAAGGUAAAUAGGAUUCCAAAGCCAAAGAUAGAGAAAGCAAAAGCCAGAAGGAGAAUGCAAUGGAGAAGGUUAAUUCAAAAGGCUCAGAAGAUAAUACCAAAACGGGUUGAUAAUAAUGAAGAUUUUAAAGGUAUAAUAUUAAAAGUAUAUAUUAUAUAUAUACAUAUAUUGUAAAUUGAUAAUAAUAUUAAAAUUUAGUAAAUAUUUAAAUUAUUCUAAUAUAUGCUCAGAAGAUAAUACCAAAACGGGUUGAUAAUGAAGAUUUUAAACUCACUCAAUUCAGCUUACACCGGUUUCUACGUGUUUCUAAAGAAAAAAAUGAGCUUUCACUUUUUUUCUCAUCAUCUGCCGAGAAAAUAAAAACGUGAUUAAGACAGUAGAAGCUCACAUAAGUUUUUUUGUCGGGGAUAAAACAAUUUGGGCCAUGGACAUUUAUUUACAAAAUCCGUUAAAAUUGGGCCAUGGACCUUGAUUUAUAUAACCCAUUUUAUUUGCUAUACAAAUUAUUAUGUGCAAUAUUAUGUGUAAUAAUAAUGAUAUUAUAUUA
This is a long non-coding RNA of Raphanus sativus (radish), 1167 nucleotides long. RefSeq lists it as uncharacterized. The transcript is spliced from 3 exons. The record is from RefSeq and is a predicted model, not a curated record. NCBI's taxonomy places the organism in Eukaryota, Viridiplantae, Streptophyta, Magnoliopsida, Brassicales, Brassicaceae.